RNAcentral lists this long non-coding RNA (686 nucleotides) under Fukomys damarensis (Damara mole-rat). RNAcentral describes it as "lncRNA (ENSFDAG00000024158.1)". Lineage: Eukaryota; Metazoa; Chordata; Mammalia; Rodentia; Bathyergidae. The record is from RNAcentral.
GAUGGGACAGGGCCAGUCUGCAAGCCACUGCUCCUCUGCAGGUGUGGGAGGGAGAGGCAUCACACGCAGGAUUUACCAGCUGAGAUGGUCUGUGUCCAACAGGAGAAUAAAGGAAAGGCCCUGUUUGUGUGGCCUCAGCCACCUGCAGAAGGUACUGGUUCAUGUACCUCCACUGGCACUUGGUACAGAUUAAAGAAUGAGGGUAAAAAAAAAAUCUGUCUUUGAGCCAAGAGGCAGGGCUUCCUCACACCGCGGGACACAGCCCUACGGUUCCCGUGAGAAAGCCCCAGCAACAGGACGCUACUGUGGGGAGGUUCGCUGUCCCUGGGAGGAUUUCUCGAUGGUGACAGUAACAAAGUCACAGACCCCCAUCUGGGCAGAGAAGCAUGUCCCUGUUCCUGGUGCUGGACAUAUUCUGCGGCUCUCUCCUGAUGAAGACACCAAAGGCUUCCUGUGUUCCCUGAGGGGGUGACUGUGUGGCUACAGGUAGAUGUGGCCCAGGGACCCAGAGCGCUCAGAAUAAAAGACAGCGAUUGUUCCCACCUUGGGUGUGAAACAUCUUCCAAAAGGAAGCAAAUUACAUUAUAAUAAUAAUGACUACGGUCUGGUUUACUCUGGUUAAAGAGGGCAAUAAAAUAAGACAGUCUUUCUUCCUGAAAGACAGAAUCUCUUCUUAAUGACAAAGC